GAAUGGUUAUGGCUGAAUUCUAUGGAAUUAUAGUGAAAAAUUCGUAUGACAGUACAGGUACUAAUUGAGUCAUAGCAGUUGCUGUGUAGCCCAGACUUGUGUAAUUGUUGGAUUUUCGGAUUCUACACUUAAUUCCCUUCAGUUUGGAUAUAAGUUUGAUAUGUUUUGGAUUAGAAAUGGAUUCGGAAAACGCGUUUGAAGUUUGGAUAUUGAUGCUGGAAACUGCAUAUGGGUUUUGGCAUGAAUUUUGCGGAGUAAGCUAAAAUGUGAGUUCAUGUUGGGGGAAUGAUUCCAGAACUGAAUAUGUAUGCUUAAUUGGCUGAGUAAGAGUUUGAUUUGAAGUUGAAAUGCAAAAAUUAGAGGUCGGAAGUAGGUAGCAGUUUUAUGCAAAAAUAUGUCGCGAGUUUGCAUAUGCGAGUGGCACCAUCGGAUGGCUCUAAGUGGGCGAUAUGGCUCGGUACUGCUAGCAAUUUCAGGUGGGUUCCCUUAGAGCCUUAAACUCUAGUUAGUUUAGCUCCAUUAGUUUCCCCAAAUAAAAUAUGCAUGAUAACAUUAGCUAGAAUAUGAUAAUAGUUUCCUCAAAUUAUUAAUGCAUGACCACUUUAAGGAAAUUAAGAUAUUAUUGUGUGAGAAGGUUUAAAUCCCAAAACCAUCUCCAUGAUAUUCAUUUAAUAUUGUUAUGUUGCUUAUAACUAGAGAAGAAUGGGAUUGUAAGUGGAAUUAGGAUAUAUUCUUUGAAAAUGCAAAGCACGGAACUGUACUGGUUUUCUCGCUUGGUGAGCAUGAAGAUUCGCCAAGCGAGUGUAGCAGAACAGAACUCUGCAAAAAUAAUGUUUUAAAUAAUAAUCCACUCGUUUUAUAUCCCUGAC
This 869-nucleotide long non-coding RNA is filed under the name Trifolium pratense (red clover). RNAcentral describes it as "long non-coding RNA (TPRA_LNC008541)". Lineage: Eukaryota; Viridiplantae; Streptophyta; Magnoliopsida; Fabales; Fabaceae. The record is from RNAcentral.